RNAcentral lists this transfer RNA (69 nucleotides) under Marmota monax (woodchuck). Its description in RNAcentral is "tRNA.Phe". It matches the Rfam family "tRNA". From Rfam's summary of the family: Transfer RNA (tRNA) molecules are approximately 80 nucleotides in length. Their secondary structure includes four short double-helical elements and three loops (D, anti-codon, and T loops). Further hydrogen bonds mediate the characteristic L-shaped molecular structure. tRNAs have two regions of fundamental functional importance: the anti-codon, which is responsible for specific mRNA codon recognition, and the 3' end, to which the tRNAs corresponding amino acid is attached (by aminoacyl-tRNA synthetases). tRNAs cope with the degeneracy of the genetic code in two manners: having more than one tRNA (with a specific anti-codon) for a particular amino acid; and 'wobble' base-pairing, i.e. permitting non-standard base-pairing at the 3rd anti-codon position. The record is from RNAcentral. Lineage: Eukaryota; Metazoa; Chordata; Mammalia; Rodentia; Sciuridae.
GGGUGUAGCUUAGUGGUAGAGCACUUGCUUAAAAUGCAUAAGGCCCUGGGUUCAAUCCCUAGCACCACA